Carya illinoinensis is the source of this 581-nucleotide long non-coding RNA. RefSeq lists it as uncharacterized. The transcript has 2 exons. The record is from RefSeq and is a predicted model, not a curated record. Lineage: Eukaryota; Viridiplantae; Streptophyta; Magnoliopsida; Fagales; Juglandaceae.
UGGCACCCCAAACCUUCGAAGUCCAAAUUUUGAAAUUUCAAUCAGCUCACACAAUUCGUCUCGUCGCACGUCACCGUCAUCUGCCUCAGCUCGUCUCACAGUCGCAUCUCUAAUCUCCAUCGCAGGGAAACAUUGUUUAACAGGAGCAUAAAAAGGGAAGAAAUGAUUUAGAUCCAAUCAAUCUUGAAUAAAUUGACUUGAUAGAAAAAUGGAUGGAUGAAGAAUUUGAGCUUCUUGAUGAAGAAGAUUUAGAUUGGGUAAGUAUUAAAGAGUCAUUAGUCUCACUAAAUAAGGAAAACAAUGAUAAUAUUGAUGUUGAUAUUGAUGACGGUGGUGACAUUGAUAAUAAUAUUUUAUUUAACAUGUCGAAUCCUGAUCCUUAUUAUCUUUUUUAUGAGAAUGCGUGAUUUUAUUUUAAUGGUUGGAUUACAAACUUUUUUAAUUUUACAAGUAUGUUUGUUGGAAUUUUUUUUUUUUUUUGUUUUUAUAUGAUGUUUGUUGUAACUUAAAGCUUAAGAACUUAUGUUAGUUGUAACUUAAAACUUAAAACUUGUACCAAGAAGUAUUGAGUUUAUAAUUUA